AUUGAACGCUGGCGGAAUGCUUUACACAUGCAAGUCGAACGGCAGCACGGGGGCAGCCCUGGUGGCGAGUGGCGAACGGGUGAGUAAUACAUCGGAACGUGCCCGGUCGUGGGGGAUAACGUAGCGAAAGUUACGCUAAUACCGCAUACGAUCUGAGAAUGCAAGCGGGGGACCUUCGGGCCUCGCGCGAUCGUGGCGGCCGAUGUGAGAUGCGGUAGUUGGUGGGGUAACGGCCUACCAAGCCGGCGAUCUGUAGCUGGUCUGAGAGGACGACCAGCCACACUGGGACUGAGACACGGCCCAGACUCCUACGGGAGGCAGCAGUGGGGAAUUUUGGACAAUGGGCGCAAGCCUGAUCCAGCCAUUCCGCGUGCAGGACGAAGGCCUUCGGGUUGUAAACUGCUUUUGUACGGAACGAAAAGGCUCUGGCUAAUACCUGGGGAUCAUGACGGUACCGUAAGAAUAAGCACCGGCUAACUACGUG
RNAcentral lists this ribosomal RNA (484 nucleotides) under uncultured bacterium. RNAcentral describes it as "partial 16S ribosomal RNA". It matches the Rfam family "Bacterial small subunit ribosomal RNA", at positions 29 to 507 of the family's 1533-position model. The record is from RNAcentral.